CCUACGGGAGGCAGCAGUGGGGAAUAUUGCACAAUGGGCGAAAGCCUGAUGCAGCAACGCCGCGUGAGUGAUGAAGGCCUUCGGGUCGGAAAACUCUGUCCUCAAGGAAGAUAAUGACGGUACUUGAGGAGGAAGCCCCGGCUAACUACGUGCCAGCAGCCGCGGUAAUACGUAGGGGGCUAGCGGUAUCCGGAUUUACUGGGCGUAAAGGGUGCGUAGGCGGUCUUUCAAGUCAGGAGUGAAAGGCUACGGCUCAACCGUAGUAAGCUCUUGAAACUGGGAGACUUGAGUGCAGGAGAGGAGAGUGGAAUUCCUAGUGUAGCGGUGAAAUGCGUAGAUAUUAGGAGGAACACCAGUUGCGAAGGCG
Molecule: ribosomal RNA, 367 nt
Filed under: Clostridioides difficile
Lineage: Bacteria; Bacillati; Bacillota; Clostridia; Peptostreptococcales; Peptostreptococcaceae
Description: bacterial SSU rRNA
Rfam family: Bacterial small subunit ribosomal RNA
Source: RNAcentral